CAUCACUACGCUAGAUGCAUAUCAAUAAGCGGAGGAAAAGAAACUAACUAAGGAUUCCCUCAGUAACGGCGAGUGAAGCGGGAAGAGCUCAAAUUUGAAAUCUUCAAGGUUUUACCUUGACGAAUUGUAGUUUAAAGAAGUGUUUUCUGUUGAAGUUUUGGUAAAAGUUCUUUGGAAUAGGACAUCAUAGAGGGUGAGAAUCCCGUAUUUGGUCAUUCUUUCUAGCUUUGUGAUACACUUUCAACGAGUCGGAUUGUUUGGGAAUGCAGUCCAAAAUGGGUGGUAAAUUUCAUCUAAAGCUAAAUAUUGGCGAGAGACCGAUAGCGAACAAGUACCGUGAGGGAAAGAUGAAAAGAACUUUGAAAAGAGAGUUAAACAGUACGUGAAAUUGUCAAAAGGGAAGCGUUUGACACCAGUGUUGUUUUCUCGAAAAUCAAUUAAAAAAGGCCGGAUUUUGUGUUGUAUUGACCUUAAAAGCUUUCUUCACUCUUUUCUUGUCUUUUUUAAUGCACUUUUCGUUUAACAAGUCAACAUCAGUUUCUUUUGUUGUAAAAGGGUCAUUGGAAGGUGGCUUUCUUUUCGGAGAAAGUGUUUAUAGCCUUUGAUCUCUGCAACCGGAGAGACUGAGGUCUGCAGCGUAGACUCUUCGGGGCUAGAUACAUUUGUGCUAAGCUAUAGCUUUUUAUAGACAACUUGUUGACUAUAUUUAGUCUUGUGGCUUACUCGCUUAUGCUAUUUUACCUACGCUUAGGAUGUUGACGAGACUGUCGAUCUC
RNAcentral lists this ribosomal RNA (775 nucleotides) under uncultured Neocallimastigales. RNAcentral's name for it is "partial large subunit ribosomal RNA". It matches the Rfam family "Eukaryotic large subunit ribosomal RNA", at positions 20 to 641 of the family's 3401-position model. The record is from RNAcentral. Lineage: Eukaryota; Fungi; Neocallimastigomycota; Neocallimastigomycetes; Neocallimastigales.